UGGGGAAUUUUGGACAAUGGGCGAAAGCCUGAUCCAGCCAUGCCGCGUGAGUGAAGAAGGCCUUCGGGUUGUAAAGCUCUUUUAGUCGGAAAGAAAGAGUUGCAAUGAAUAAUUGUGAUUUAUGACGGUACCGACAGAAAAAGCACCGGCCAACUCCGUGCCAGCAGCCGCGGUAAUACGGAGGGUGCGAGCGUUAUCCGGAUUUACUGGGUUUAAAGGGUGCGUAGGUGGGCUUAUAAGUCAGUGGUGAAAUCUCCGAGCUUAACUUGGAAACUGCCGUUGAUACUAUAGGUCUUGAAUUAUCUGGAGGUAAGCGGAAUAUGUCAUGUAGCGGUGAAAUGCUUAGAUAUGACAUAGAACACCAAUUGCGAAGGCAGCUUACUACAUAUAAAUUGACGCUGAGGCACGAAAGCGUGGGGAUCAAACA
This 427-nucleotide ribosomal RNA is filed under the name uncultured bacterium. Its description in RNAcentral is "bacterial SSU rRNA". It matches the Rfam family "Bacterial small subunit ribosomal RNA", at positions 355 to 774 of the family's 1533-position model. The record is from RNAcentral.